GAUGCUGCCCCAGGGCCCAUGGCCAAGGGCACACUGGGGGGAAGUGACCUCGCUGCCUGUUUGUCCUGGAGCUCCAUCUCCUCUUUCCUCGGCAGCUUUGCUGAAGCCUCAGCCGGGGGGCCUGGAGGACAGGGCGGAUGGCAGGAGGGUGGGACUCUGCCCUCACCUUGUGGGAGCUGAGCCUCGCGCCUCCUGUCAGCUGCCCUUCACCGCUCCCCACUUCAGCCUCCAAGGCAGAGACCACGUGGCCACCUUCCAUGGCACAUAAGGUUCACUGGCUUUAUUUUACCUGGCUGGAGGAAGCUAAGGUGACACAGUUGGCAGCAGGGACAGAGGACAUCAUCUGGAUGCAUGGGCGGUAACAUGGAGCUUCUGCCCUCAAGGUGCGGUGGACCUGGCGCGCACCUCACAAGUGUGGCUCAGGAAGAAGGGCUGUGUGGUCUGAGGUUCAAGCCCCCAGGCAGCUCUAGCCUGGUUUGAUUCCAUCUAGCUCCAUUGCUAAUAGCUGUGUGACCUUGGGCCAGACCCCUUCACCUGUCUCACCUCCAUGUCCCCAUCUGUAAGAGGGGAUAAUUCUAUCGCCCCGAGGGGUGCUGUGAAGAUAAAGUAAGCACUCAGGUUUUUGAUGUCUGGUGUUCCAGGCACUCAGCUGGAAGCUGGACUCCUCUAGAGCUGGAUUCCUGGCGUGGACCUGCUGCCCUGAGGGGGCUUCUAGGGAGCCUCAGUGCCUCUGUUCCCCUGGCGAGAGGGGGCUGCCGUGAGGACUCCUGGAUGGAAGUGCUGGGCCCUUCUCCGGGCUCUGUGCUGGUGGGAUUCAGGAAAUGUCUGUCGCCCCUGCAUCCGGGGCCCAGAGCCUUGGCUGGGGUGGGCCCCAGUGCUCAGUGUUCAGCAUGCAGCCCCGGACGCCUGGCCUUUGGUGACCAGCACGAUGUGUGACCUUGUGCACACUGGGCCCUGGCUGCCUUGGUUUCCCCACCCACUGGGCUGCAGUUGGACUCCUUGCUGAGUCUGCCAGGGUUUUACUGCGACACGGCUUGGCAAGAGCUUGGGCACCGGGCGAGGUUGUUUGUCACGGGUUCUUGAGGAGGCGGAGGGGCAGGUGGCCCCAUGCCAGUGCGGAGCCCACACUCCUCUCGCCAGCUCUGCCGGGCUCAGGCUCAAGUGUGGCUGCUUUAAACGCACCCACCCCAGGGGCCGGUCCCAUGAGCGCUCUCUGCUGUGAUUCAGUGGCGGUUGCUAAGGAAGGCCCAGUACCCGGCCCCUGGGGAGACGCUGCGGCCAGCCUGGCUUCAGCAGACUCGGCAAGGCUUGUACCAGCUCCGAGGAAAAUACCCGUCCGUGCUCAGGGUCCUCAGUCCUAAAAUGAAGACAAGGCCGGCUCCAUGGUUCCUGCUGGUUUUGACACACAGUGGUAUGGGGUGGGGGUGGAGAUUUAGAGAGUAGAGCAAAUGACAAAAAUAAAAAUGAGCUGCACAAAGAGACAACUCUUUGUGUGGAUGUCAACAGCCUCAUGUAAGAUCCUAACUGCAGGAACUCUCUAGAAUGCCUAUUUUGUAUACUGCCACAAGAGCCCUGCAAAGAGUCAACAAUCCCAAGGCAUGAGAACGUGCAGCAGCUUCGUGUUCUGCACACACCAGCCUCCCUGCUUGGGACGCAUCGGUCUGCUGCCCAGCACUCCAGCUCCAUCCAUGCCCCCGACCCCAGCCACAGGACAAAGCCGCACGGACGGCUGUUCCCCUGUCCUCAUUUUCACCUGUAGGUGGCUAGACCUUCUGCAUGAGUUGCCUGCUGGUCAGGUUUGGGGAUUACAAGGUAAAUCAGUAAAAAAAGGAAGCCCAGGGCGAUGGUCUCUGGGUCCCAGCACUGCGUCUGAGUGGAAGCAGGCUUGCCGGAAUCCUGCUGGCCAGCCUGCGAGCGGAGAAUCGGCGGGGCGAGGCAUCUCGAUGCAGCUUUUCCUCCAUGCCAGGCACCCCCCUCAAUUUGUUACAUUUAUCCAUCCAUCUCAUCUUCACAACAGCCCCGUGGGGGUGGCAGGGUCAUCGUCCCCGUUUCCGAGCUGGGGAAGCCGAGGGGGCGGUGCUGUUAGAGGUAUCUAGGAAGUCUCAGGGCCAGGAUUCCAGCCACAGCAAUUUGUCUCCAGAGCCCAGCCCUUAGCCACCUCCCUUCAUUGUCUCCACGGAUUGUUAUGCUCCAGGCUGGCCCAGGUGACACCACGAGUCACCACCUUCCCCACUAUUACCACAGUCAGAAGACUUGUGUCCCUGCCGAGGGCUCGACUGUGACGAGCGCCCGUGGGAACAGGGUGUUUCCUGGGGUCUCCCUGAUAUCACCUGGCUCUGUGAAGUUUCCAGCAGGUGAUUCAUUUGUAUUUGUGCAUUGAUGAAUAAAGGAAAGACACCGGAUGAUUUGUGCUAAGGAACUUCGGCGUGAGAUGCACCCACCGUCUCCCUGAUAC
Molecule: long non-coding RNA, 2455 nt
Organism: Mirounga angustirostris (Northern elephant seal)
Lineage: Eukaryota; Metazoa; Chordata; Mammalia; Carnivora; Phocidae
Exons: 4
Source: RefSeq, a predicted model, not a curated record